Molecule: ribosomal RNA, 460 nt
Filed under: uncultured bacterium
Lineage: Bacteria
Description: partial 16S ribosomal RNA
Rfam family: Bacterial small subunit ribosomal RNA
Source: RNAcentral
CCUACGGGGGGCAGCAGUGAGGAAUAUUGGUCAAUGGGCGAGCGCCUGAACCAGCCAAGUCGCGUGAAGGAUGAAUGAUCUAUGGUUUGUAAACUUCUUUUAUCUGGGAGUAACGUGAGGAACGUGUUCCUUUUUGUAUGUACCCUAUGAAUAAGCAUCGGCUAAAUCCGUGCCAGCUGCCGCGGUAAUACGGAGGAUGCGAGCGUUAUCCGGGUUUAUUGGGGUUAAAGGGUUCGUCGGUGGUUAAGUAAGUUAGCGGGGAAAGUUUGUGGCUCAAACAUAAAAUUGCCGUUGAAACUGGUUGAGUUGAGUAUAUUUGAGGUAGGCGGAAUGCGUGGUGUAGCGGUGAAAUGCAUAGAUAUCACGCAGAACUCCGAUUGCGAAGGCAGCUUACCAAACUCUAACUGACACUGUAUCACGAAAGCGUGGGGAUCAAACAGGAUUAGAUACCCCUGUAGUC